RNAcentral lists this ribosomal RNA (266 nucleotides) under uncultured archaeon. RNAcentral's name for it is "partial 16S ribosomal RNA". It matches the Rfam family "Archaeal small subunit ribosomal RNA", at positions 717 to 982 of the family's 1478-position model. The record is from RNAcentral.
AGUCACUGACAUUAGAUACCCGUGUAGUCCCAGCCGUAAACUAUGCUCGCUAGGUGUCAGGCAUGGCGCGACCGUGUCUGGUGCCGCAGGGAAGCCGUGAAGCGAGCCACCUGGGAAGUACGGCCGCAAGGCUGAAACUUAAAGGAAUUGGCGGGGGAGCACAACAACGGGUGGAGCCUGCGGUUUAAUUGGUACUCAACGCCGGACAACUCACCGGGGACGACAGCAAUAUGUAGGCCAGGCUGAAGACCUUGCCUGAAUCGCUG